RNAcentral lists this ribosomal RNA (440 nucleotides) under uncultured bacterium. RNAcentral describes it as "partial 16S ribosomal RNA". It matches the Rfam family "Bacterial small subunit ribosomal RNA", at positions 338 to 795 of the family's 1533-position model. The record is from RNAcentral.
CCUACGGGUGGCAGCAGUGGGGAAUAUUGCACAAUGGGGGAAACCCUGAUGCAGCGACGCCGCGUGAGUGAAGAAGUAUCUCGGUACGUAAAGCUCUAUCAGCAGGGAAGUAAAUGACGGUACCUGACUAAGAAGCCCCGGCUAACUACGUGCCAGCAGCCGCGGUAAUACGUCGGGGGCAAGCGUUAUCCGGAUUUACUGGGUGUAAAGGGAGCGUAGACGGGUGCAUAAGUCUGGAGUGAAAUCCCGGGGCUUAACCCUGGAACUGCUUUGGAAACUGUGCGGCUGGAGUGCAGGAGGGGUAAGCGGAAUUCGUAGUGUAGCGGUGAAAUGCGUAGAUAUUAGGAGGAACACCGGUGGCGAAGGCAGCUUACUGGACUGUAACUGACGUUGAGGCUCGAAAGCGUGGGGAGCAAACAGGAUUAGAUACCCCUGUAGUC